Molecule: long non-coding RNA, 1952 nt
Filed under: Homo sapiens (human)
Lineage: Eukaryota; Metazoa; Chordata; Mammalia; Primates; Hominidae
Description: non-protein coding LINC01134:5
Source: RNAcentral
ACACUGGAGCAGGAAGUCGGCCUGUGGCCGGCCAUGUUCAUGAGGGCGCGUCCCUUGGCACCCCUGUAGCCGCUAUGUUUCCCACGCCCGUGGCAGGCCUGAGAGAUUAUGUUUGCGGGGGGUGCUUUUUUUGUAGCUUCUGUGUUCGCCAUAUUUGAAAGGGGCAGACGGCCAUGUUCGUGAACGGCGCUUCCCUUGGUGCACCUGUGGCCGCCAUGUUUGAGCGAGGACCCCGUGGCAGGCCAGGACCGUUUCUCCGGUGCUAUCCCAGAGCAUGGCGCAUCCACUCAUUCACUCAAGGGAAAGGCCUGAAAGUAAAAUUGUAUCAACAUUAGGUUUGGCUAAUGUUGCCAUUAGGCAAACCUAAUUUUAAUGAAGCCAGGAGGUUCUCGUUUUGGGCCUUGACUGGACAGGUUUGAGCUAGAAACCACUUGAAGUAUUGAUCAUCCAUCUGAUCAUCAAGUUUUUUUUUUUUUUUGAGUUGGAGUCUCACUCUGUUGCUCACGCUGGAGUGCAGUGGCACGAUCUCAGCUCCCUGCAACCUCCACCUCCCGGGUUCUCCUGCCUCAGCCUUCCAAGUAGCUGGGAUUAUAAGCGUGUGCCACCAUGCCUGGCUACUUUUUUAUAUUUUCGGUUGAGAUGGGGUUUCACCGCGUGGCCAGGCUGGUCUCAAACUCCUGACCUCAAGUGAUCCGCCUGCCUCGGCCUCCCAAAGUGCUGGGAUUACAGGCGUGAGCCGCCACUCCCAGCUUGUUCAUCCAGUUUUUAUUGAGCAUCUAUUAUGUGCCGAUAUUGAGGUAGACUCUGGGAGUCACAGCAGUGAAUGCAGCUGCCUGGAUGCCUCGUGAGGGCCGGAGCCUCACUGGGGAGAUGGACAUGAACAGCAAAUGCACAGCGAGGAAAGCCAGGGGUCUGUGCGGGGAUGCUGCAGGACACGAGAACCAGCCAAGACCUAUGGCCCCUGCAGCCACCGAGGGCUCGAGAGCGCCCCUGUGGACUUGGCUGGGCCCUUCAUGGUGACAUCCAGGAAUGCGGCUGAGCGCGGGUGUUGACCUCGCUGUUUGCUGGAAUGUUUGGGUUCUUGGACCAUGUCAGUGACGGCUGUGUCACCAUGGCCUUGCUAUCCCCAGGAAAACCUAACAUGCACCCCGCGCCUGUCCUCUGGGACUCCCAUCCUCCUCCUUUGUCUGACCCCUGAGAGGCUUACCGUUUCCCCAGGGCAGCCCCGGCUGUGGCCCUCGGCCCUGCUCCAGGCGGCCAUGUCAGUGUCCUCCCUCGGCGCUCCCAACACCCUACCUGGCUCUGCGAUGGCCACCCUGGACUCCUAAACACCCCAGAAAGGGAAGAGAUUUAAGAGGAACCUUGAUUCCUGCCAUUCUGCGCAGUCGUGGGUCCCUCCUCCACCUGGGGCCCUCAAGGGGAUUUCUGUCCGCACUCCCAGCCAGCGACCCCUCCCAGUUCCUGCAGCUGGAGCGGCCCUCUCUCCUGAACAUUCGGGCACCUGCGUCUGUCACUGCAGCCAGAGGGCUGGAGUGUCUUCGGUCAACUCGCCAUCCCUGCCACGGCUGGAGGCCACAUGUCCCAGAACCUACCUUGCUGGGAUGGGGGUUGGGGUGGCAGAGGCUGAACGCGUGUGAGGUUUGGGGGAGGACAAGCGGAGCGGGGAUGUGUGGGAGGUCCUGGUGUCCACCGUGAGGAUGGUCACACCCCAUAGCUUUGUUGAUGCUGUGGCUGUAGCAGGCCCAGUGGCUCCGCUGAGCCUCCCUAGCACCAGUGCCCAGUGAAGUGUGGGGGGCUGGACAUAGGUGGCCUCAGUUCCUGGGACUCCCCCAAAGCUCUGGUUUCCCCCCUGCUCCCAGGCUUCAGGUGGACGAGUUAGUGACCACCCCCACUCCAGACCUCCCUCCCCUAGCCACCCCCACAGUUAUAAAAACCUUCAUUCUCAUAUGGAA